AGUUUGAUAUGAGCUUUAGUAUCUCCCCACUACAGUGCGAGAAAAGUCAGGGCAAAGGAUUGAAAAGAAGUUCACAACAAAAAAGUUUGAACACAAGCAAACCUGAAACAGAUGCAGGGUAGUAGAUCUUAAGGGUGCGUUGCUCACUCCAGGGCCUGCUGCCACCCAGAUGGCUGGCAAACACCAGGACUCCGAACACAACAGGAUUCAGGGAUUCAGACAGGAGUCUUGCUCUACCAAUUAUUAUAGGAUCUUAGAUGCCUUUCCAGUAAAGCUAACAAAAAACAAAACAAAAUAAAACCAUAUCCAAAAUACUAAACAGCUGUCUCCAAGAUCAGAAGGCAUCAGAAAAGACCCUCAAGAGUUGUCUAAUCCCAGAGGAAGAUCUUAAGUGGGGAUGUGCUCACAGCAGAAACCUUGGAAAUUUCAGGGAGUGAAAUUUUAUUGUCAGAACUUUCAAUAAAAGUGUAGCCACAGAUCCUGGGAGCAUUAAAUAAAAAUUACCAACAAGCUGUCUUACCUGUGUGCACUCCACUGAAAGGAAGGGCAAACAUGAGCAAGGAGCUCUUGUACAUCAGUCAAAAUUCUGACAGCUACCCUGUGAAGUUUGACGGGCUGCCAUGUGCUAGACUACCUAAGAUACUCUUAACUGAACCAUAAAAAGACAAAUAAAUUAGUAAUUGUA
RNAcentral lists this long non-coding RNA (685 nucleotides) under Homo sapiens (human). Its description in RNAcentral is "long independently transcribed non-coding RNA 2853 (LINC02853)". Lineage: Eukaryota; Metazoa; Chordata; Mammalia; Primates; Hominidae. The record is from RNAcentral.